CGAGAUUCCCACUGUCCCUAUCUACUACUUGGCGAAACCACAGCCAUGGGAACGGGCAUGGCAACAUCAGCGGGGAAAGAAGACCCUGUUGAGCUUGACUCUAGUCCGACUUGGUAGAAUGGCUCGAAGGGUAUAGCAUAAGUGGGAGGCGCAAGCCGACCUUGAAAUACCACUACCUUUGACGCCGUUUUACUCAUUCAAUUGGGUUGGAACCUUUGCCUUGUGAGGUGUAACAGCCGAGCCUGGUAAAGUUGAUUCUAGUCUUAGUAAUUCGAAAGCACGUUGUUGGUGCAGUGCCGGUCGCGAGACCAGGUGCUGAGCCUAGCGGCCUCUGCUUCGGAGACCAAAGGUUGAAGACAUAGUCAGGUGGGGAGUUUGGCUGGGGCGGCACAUCUGUGAAACGAUAGCGCAGGUGUCCUAAGAGCAGCUCAAAGAGAACAGAAAUCUCUUGUAGAACAUAAGGGUAAAAGACUGCUUUGAUUUUGAUUUUCAGUAUGAAUACAAACCUUAGAAAGAGUAGG
Molecule: ribosomal RNA, 521 nt
Filed under: uncultured eukaryote
Lineage: Eukaryota
Description: eukaryotic LSU rRNA
Rfam family: Eukaryotic large subunit ribosomal RNA
Source: RNAcentral